GGCCAGGUAGCUCAGUCGGUAGAGCAGAGGACUGAAAAUCCUCGUGUCGGUGGUUCAAUUCCACCCCUGGCCA
This 73-nucleotide transfer RNA is filed under the name Arenicellales bacterium. RNAcentral's name for it is "tRNA-Phe". It matches the Rfam family "tRNA". From Rfam's summary of the family: Transfer RNA (tRNA) molecules are approximately 80 nucleotides in length. Their secondary structure includes four short double-helical elements and three loops (D, anti-codon, and T loops). The record is from RNAcentral. Lineage: Bacteria; Pseudomonadati; Pseudomonadota; Gammaproteobacteria; Arenicellales. RNAcentral also lists the same sequence under 1 other name.